This 538-nucleotide ribosomal RNA is filed under the name Demospongiae sp. G313196. Its description in RNAcentral is "eukaryotic LSU rRNA". It matches the Rfam family "Eukaryotic large subunit ribosomal RNA", at positions 705 to 1218 of the family's 3401-position model. Lineage: Eukaryota; Metazoa; Porifera; Demospongiae. The record is from RNAcentral.
AACCAGAAGGCGCAAUGAAAGUGAAGGCACGGUCGCCGUGCUGAGGUGAGAGCUGUCAACGGCAGCGCAUCAUUGACCGAUCCCAUCCGCACCGCAAGGCGCGGCGGGAUUCGAGUAAGAGCGUACCUGUUGCGACCCGAAAGAUGGUGAACUAUGCCUGAAUAGGGUGAAGCCAGAGGAAACUCUGGUGGAGGCCCGUAGCGAUUCUGACGUGCAAAUCGAUCGUCAAAUUUGGGUAUAGGGGCGAAAGACUAAUCGAACCAUCUAGUAGCUGGUUCCCUCCGAAGUUUCCCUCAGGAUAGCUGUAGCCCGAAGCAGUUUUAUCAGGUAAAGCGAAUGAUUAGAGGUAUCGGGGAAGAAACUUCCUCGACCUAUUCUCAAACUUUAAAUAGGUAAGAAGUCCGACUUGCUUAAUCUGAAGCCGGACACAGAAUGCUGGGUUACUAGUGGGCCAUUUUUGGUAAGCAGAACUGGCGAUGCGGGAUGAACCGAACGCCGAGUUAAGGUGCCAAAGUCGACGCUCAUCAGAUCCCACAAA